UACAGAGGGUGCAAGCGUUAAUCGGAGUUACUGGGCGUAAAGGGCGCGCAGGCGGUUUGAAGGGUGUGACGUGAAGGCCUCGGGCUUAACCUGAGAAGUGCAUCGCAAACCGGCAAACUGGAGUAUAUGAGAGGGUGGCGGAAUUUCCGGUGUAGCGGUGAAAUGCGUAGAGAUCGGAAGGAACGUCAAUGGCGAAGGCAGCCACCUGCAUAAUACUGACGCUGAGGCGCGAAAGCGUGGGGAGCGAACAGG
RNAcentral lists this ribosomal RNA (252 nucleotides) under uncultured bacterium. Its description in RNAcentral is "partial 16S ribosomal RNA". It matches the Rfam family "Bacterial small subunit ribosomal RNA", at positions 524 to 776 of the family's 1533-position model. The record is from RNAcentral.